RNAcentral lists this ribosomal RNA (1209 nucleotides) under metagenome. RNAcentral describes it as "bacterial LSU rRNA". It matches the Rfam family "Bacterial large subunit ribosomal RNA", at positions 1681 to 2910 of the family's 2925-position model. The record is from RNAcentral.
CCAAGGCGCUUGAGAGAACCACAUCAAAGGAACUCGGCAAGAUGCUCCCGUAAGUUCGCGAGAAGGGAGCCCCGUCUGUAGGCAACUAUGGGCGGGGGGCACAAACCAGGGGGUGGCGACUGUUUACUUAAAACACAGGGCUGUGCGAAGCCGUAAGGCGACGUAUACAGUCUGACGCCUGCCCGGUGCUGGAAGGUUAAAAGGAGGGGUGCAAGCUCUGAAUUGAAGCCCCAGUAAACGGCGGCCGUAACGAUAACGGUCCUAAGGUAGCGAAAUUCCUUGUCGGGUAAGUUCCGACCUGCACGAAUGGCGUAACGAUCUCCCUGCUGUCUCCGAUGUGGACUCAGCGAAAUUGAACUGUGUGUCAAGAUGCACACUUCCCGCGGUUAGACGGAAAGACCCCAUGAACCUUUACUCCAGCUUUGCACUGGCAUCAGGAUUGUGAUGUGCAGGAUAGGUGGUAGGCAUCGAAGCAGAGACGCCAGUUUCUGUGGAGCCUCCCUUGAGAUACCACCCUUCGCACUCUUGAUGUCUAACCGCGGCCCGUUAUCCGGGUCCGGGACCAUGCAUGGUGGGGAGUUUGACUGGGGCGGUCGCCUCCCAAACAGUAACGGAGGCGCGCGAAGGUUGGCUCAGAGCGGUCGGAAAUCGCUCGUUGAGUGCAAUGGCAGAAGCCAGCCUGACUGCAAGACUGACAAGUCGAGCAGAGACGAAAGUCGGCCAUAGUGAUCCGGUGGUCCCAAGUGGGAGGGCCAUCGCUCAACGGAUAAAAGGUACUCUGGGGAUAACAGGCUGAUGAUGCCCAAGAGUCCAUAUCGACGGCAUCGUUUGGCACCUCGAUGUCGGCUCAUCUCAUCCUGGGGCUGGAGCAGGUCCCAAGGGUAUGGCUGUUCGCCAUUUAAAGAGGUACGUGAGCUGGGUUUAGAACGUCGUGAGACAGUUCGGUCCCUAUCUGCCGUGGGUGUAGGAGACUUGAGAAGAGUUGCCCCUAGUACGAGAGGACCGGGGUGAACGUUCCACUGGUGGACCAGUUGUCGUGCCAACGGCAGUGCUGGGUAGCUAUGAACGGACAGGAUAACCGCUGAAGGCAUCUAAGCGGGAAGCCCCCUUCAAAACAAGGUCUCCCUUGAGAGCCGUGGAAGACCACCACGUCGAUAGGCCAGAGGUGUAAGUGCAGCAAUGCAUUCAGCUGACUGGUACUAAUUGCUC